RNAcentral lists this ribosomal RNA (253 nucleotides) under uncultured bacterium. Its description in RNAcentral is "partial 16S ribosomal RNA". It matches the Rfam family "Bacterial small subunit ribosomal RNA", at positions 524 to 776 of the family's 1533-position model. The record is from RNAcentral.
UACGUAGGUGGCGAGCGUUGUCCGGAUUUACUGGGCGUAAAGAGCGCGCAGGCGGUCGUACAAGUCGCGUGUGAAAGCCCCCGGCUCAACUGGGGAGUGUCACGCGAUACUGUUCGACUCGAAGGCAGGAGAGGGAAGUGGAAUUCCCGGUGUAGUGGUGAAAUGCGUAGAUAUCGGGAGGAACACCAGUGGCGAAGGCGACUUCCUGGCCUGUUCUUGACGCUGAGGCGCGAAAGCUAGGGUAGCAAACGGG